CAGUCGCCGCGGUAAAACGAAGGGGGCUAGCGUUACUCGGAAUUACUGGGCGUAAAGGGCGCGUAGGCGGCGCACCAAGUUAGGCGUGAAAGUCCUGGGCUCAACCUGGGAACUGCGCUUAAGACUGGUGUGCUUGAGGAUGGAAGAGGGUUGUGGAAUUCCCAGUGUAGAGGUGAAAUGCGUAGAUAUCGGAAGGAACACCAGUGGCGAAGGCGGCUACCUGGACUGAGACUGACACUGAGGCGCGAGAGCGUGGGAAGCAAACAGGAUUAGAUACCCCCGUAGUCCCUGUCUCUUAUAC
RNAcentral lists this ribosomal RNA (301 nucleotides) under uncultured bacterium. RNAcentral's name for it is "partial 16S ribosomal RNA". It matches the Rfam family "Bacterial small subunit ribosomal RNA", at positions 509 to 807 of the family's 1533-position model. The record is from RNAcentral.